AACGAACGCUGGCGGCAGGCUUAACACAUGCAAGUCGAACGCACCUUUCGGGGUGAGUGGCCGACGGGUGAGUAACGCGUGGGAAUCUACCCUUCUCUACGGGAUAGCUCCGGGAAACUGGAAUUAAUACCGUAUACGUCCUGAGGGAGAAAGAUUUAUCGGGGAAGGAUGAGCCCGCGUUGGAUUAGCUAGUUGGUGGGGUAAAGGCCUACCAAGGCGACGAUCCAUAGCUGGUCUAAGAGGAUGAUCAGCCACAUUGGGACUGAGACACGGCCCAAACUCCUACGGGAGGCAGCAGUGGGGAAUAUUGGACAAUGGGCGCAAGCCUGAUCCAGCCAUGCCGCGUGAGUGAUGAAGGCCCUAGGGUUGUAAAGCCCUUUCAGUGGGGACGAUAAUGACGGUACCCACAGAAGAAGCCCCGGCUAACUUCGUG
RNAcentral lists this ribosomal RNA (433 nucleotides) under uncultured bacterium. Its description in RNAcentral is "partial 16S ribosomal RNA". It matches the Rfam family "Bacterial small subunit ribosomal RNA", at positions 29 to 507 of the family's 1533-position model. The record is from RNAcentral.